GUGGAGCUGGAGGUGGAGGAGGAGGUGGAGGUGGAGGAGGAUAAAAGCUCCAAGUACAAUCUGUGGAGGAAGAGGAACAAAUGCAAGAAGAUGAAGAGCAGGUAAAAAGCAGUGAAAA
Meleagris gallopavo (turkey) is the source of this 118-nucleotide non-coding RNA. Lineage: Eukaryota; Metazoa; Chordata; Aves; Galliformes; Phasianidae. The record is from RefSeq and is a predicted model, not a curated record.